CCAGAUAGUACUUUGAGAACCUCCUGAAAGUGGCCACCUCAGUCUUUUACAAUACCUCACUGGAAUAGAUUCUUGGAUUUAUUAUACCUGAGUAAAGGCCUGGGAAGCUGAUGGAAUUACCUCCCUCAACCCAGAAGAGCACCCAAAGUACCAACGUGAAGAAACCAGGCUCAAGCUAAAAAUCACAAAAGGUAAGUGUUAAUAAUUCACCUUCCAUGGAUAUCCUCUUUAUAGUCUUGCCUAUGCUUGCUGAUCUUACCUUUUUUCUGUUCUAUGCCACAGGGUACAAUGUUUUAGGGAUGAUUAGUGUAUUUCACUUCUUAUUUCUGUAAUCUUUGGCAUUAGAUUCUUUUAUUUUAACCCCUUUUCAUACAAUACACAUAUUUGAUCAAUGCAUACUUAACUUUGUGAAACUUGUUUCUUCUCACCUAGAGGUCAUCAAACUCCAAAUGGGAAGGCAAUCUGAUCCUUGGACAAUGGCUCCCUCUUCCUGGGAACCCUAAAAUAGAUCUCUGGGAAGAAUCUGACUGUUGUUCACCUCAAAACUACACCCACUGUCGGCAGGAAUUAGCUAAAUCAGUCAUUGUCCAUGUUCUAACAGCAGUUAGAUGUGCCUCUUCAGAGUGGGGAAAUAAUAGGGACAGGAGACAGACAAAUUCUAGACAGAAAAAGGCAGGUCCUUGGCGAAAAACCAACCCUCAAGCAGAAAAGCCUGAAACUGCGGCCCAACGUGACAACUUAUAUCCCUGUUUUCCCACUUGAAUGUUGCCUUUUCCUAAACCACCCAUGGCCGUGGCCCUUCCCAUCCUGUGCCUAUAAAGACCCCAGACUCAGCAGACAGAAAGGAGAAGUAGCUGGACAUCAGAGAGAAGCAGCUUGACUUCAGAGGGACAGCUUGAUGGCAUAAGUUAGGAGAAUAAUCCAGACAGACAUGGCCAGACUUCAAAAAAGAUUAGCUACACAACCCAUCCCCUUUUCAGCUCCCCUUCCCACUGAGUGCCACUUUCAUUGGCAAUAAAAUCUCCUGCAUUUACUAUCCUUUCAUUUGUUCAUGUGAUCUCAUUUCUCCUGGAUGCCAUACCAGAGCUCAGAAGCCAUGAGUCUGGAUACAAAAGGUUGUCAACGUGGCCCUUUGCCCUCACUGGUGGAGGGCAGCUGUAG
This 1161-nucleotide long non-coding RNA is filed under the name Homo sapiens (human). RNAcentral describes it as "HSALNT0179633". Lineage: Eukaryota; Metazoa; Chordata; Mammalia; Primates; Hominidae. The record is from RNAcentral.